This 441-nucleotide ribosomal RNA is filed under the name uncultured bacterium. Its description in RNAcentral is "bacterial SSU rRNA". It matches the Rfam family "Bacterial small subunit ribosomal RNA", at positions 958 to 1398 of the family's 1533-position model. The record is from RNAcentral.
AACGCGAAGAACCUUACCCAGGUUUGACAUGCAUAGGACAGCGCUAGAGAUAGCGUCUCCCGCAAGGGCCUAUGCACAGGUGCUGCAUGGCUGUCGUCAGCUCGUGCCGUGAGGUGUUGGGUUAAGUCCCGCAACGAGCGCAACCCUUAUCAUUAGUUGCCAACACGUGAAGGUGGGAACUCUAGUGAGACUGCCUGGGUUAACCAGGAGGAAGGUGAGGAUGACGUCAAGUCCGCAUGGCCCUUAUAUCUGGGGCUACACACGUGCUACAAUGGCCGGUACAAAGGGCAGCGAAACCGCGAGGCGAAGCAAAUCCCAAGAAAGCCGGCCCCAGUUCAGAUUGUAGUCUGCAACUCGACUACAUGAAGCCGGAAUUGCUAGUAAUGGCGCGUCAGCUACAGCGCCGUGAAUACGUUCCCGGGCCUUGUACACACCGGAGUA